GCCCUCGUAGCUCAGUGGUAGAGCGCAUCCUUGGUAAGGCUGAGGCCAUGGGUUCAAUUCCCGUCGAGGGCUCCA
RNAcentral lists this transfer RNA (75 nucleotides) under Bdellovibrionales bacterium. Its description in RNAcentral is "tRNA-Thr". It matches the Rfam family "tRNA". From Rfam's summary of the family: Transfer RNA (tRNA) molecules are approximately 80 nucleotides in length. Their secondary structure includes four short double-helical elements and three loops (D, anti-codon, and T loops). Further hydrogen bonds mediate the characteristic L-shaped molecular structure. tRNAs have two regions of fundamental functional importance: the anti-codon, which is responsible for specific mRNA codon recognition, and the 3' end, to which the tRNAs corresponding amino acid is attached (by aminoacyl-tRNA synthetases). tRNAs cope with the degeneracy of the genetic code in two manners: having more than one tRNA (with a specific anti-codon) for a particular amino acid; and 'wobble' base-pairing, i.e. permitting non-standard base-pairing at the 3rd anti-codon position. The record is from RNAcentral. Lineage: Bacteria; Pseudomonadati; Bdellovibrionota; Bdellovibrionia; Bdellovibrionales.